Long non-coding RNA from Sarcophilus harrisii (Tasmanian devil), 764 nucleotides. RefSeq lists it as uncharacterized. The transcript is spliced from 2 exons. The record is from RefSeq and is a predicted model, not a curated record. Lineage: Eukaryota; Metazoa; Chordata; Mammalia; Dasyuromorphia; Dasyuridae.
GAUCAGUUCACAACUCCAAGAACAAGGUAUUAGUGUCCCAACUUUCCCACAUCCUCUCCAAUAUUCAUCAUUAUCUUUUCCUACCGUCUUACAUGCUGUCUCUUUUAAUAGGAUAUUAGCCCCUUGCUGGUGGAAACUUCUUUUUUGGGGGGAUGGAGGGAACCUUUCUUUGCAUCUCCAUUGCUUAGCAUUGUACCUGACACAUGGUAAGUACUUAAUAAAUGUUUGUUAAGUGACUGAUGUGAACACUGGAGGCAAUUUAUAGGUAACCUUACAACAGAGAAUAUUAUAACAUUGGAUAUUAGCCCUUGACGGGACCCAAUAUCAUCAAAUCCAUUUCUUUCACUUAACAGAAGAAGAAACUCAGGUCCAGAAUGGGAAAGGCAUUUACCCAAGGUAACACCCAAAUUAGUGGCAGAGCCAGGACUACAAACCAGCCUACUGAUUGGCUUUCAAAAAUAAGAUACCAAGGUCAAUUCUGUGCAGCCAUCCUCUACUGAACAACCACAACCAGAUUUAUAUGUGUCUCCCCGUGACAUUUUCAUCUGGCUCAGGCAGUCCUCAGGUGCAUGUGGCCCAAGUGAUCUGGACCAACCUCCUCAGGUUACAGAAGAGGAAACUGAGACUAAUGGAGGGGAACUCUCAAUGCACAGAGGAUUAGAGGCACGUUUGAACCCAGGCCUUCCGACUCCAAAAUUAAGGCUUAUUCCAUUGCAUGACAUAGAGGUAAAGGGAUUUGGAAUUUUUUUUUUCCUGCAGUAGAA